GUCUCUCCUCACACUCUCACUCACCCUGUCUCUCCUCACACUCUCACUCACCCUGUCUCUCCUCACACUCUCACUCACCCUGUCUCUCCUCACACUAUCUUCCACCCUGUUUCCCCUCACACUAUCUACCACCCUGUCUCUCCUCAAACUAUCUUCCACCUUGUCUCUCCUCACACUAUCUACCACCCUGUCUCUCCUCACACUAUCUUCCACCCUGUCUCUCCCCACACUAUCUUCACUCACCUGCAAUACAUUACCACUCCCUCCAUUGGUGAUAAAAUCCUGAAUAGACCAGUUUUAACUGUUUAUUUGCAGUUCAUGUCCGAUGGGUUGUACUGUUCCAGUUGAUGUUGCCUUCCAGCUGUUACAGCCAGGCUUGUUUGAGUUUGGCGAGUUCAUGAAAGUCAACCUGCGCUAUGCCCUGCCCGACUCACAGAGCACAUUGAAGCAUGAUUCAAUCGGGACCCCGGUAUCCACGGAAACCGUGUCCACCCUGUCGACAGAGGACGAUUUGGCAGCAUCGGCAGAAUUGUGGAGAGUUAGGAGUGGCAGCACAUCAUCACUACACACACCACUGUUACAUUCCGCAGACGAGAAACGGAAAUCUUUUGCAACAAAGUCAUACUCCUUUGGUGACCUAGGGCCGAAUAUUUCUACUGAGUCCGAGGAAGCCCAGAAAAUCAGGUUUAAAUCUAUCAGGCGGUCGACGGCCGUUCACCCACCCAAGUUAUCUAUUCCACGUCCCGUGUUAUCACAGACUGACAGAGACGUUACCAACCCGGCUAACUUCUUGAAGAAACCCUGCAGGAUCUACAUUCCAUAGUCUACCUAGUAACCAACUCAGCUAACUUCCUCAACAUCUACAUUCCACAAUCUUCCUAGUAACCAACUCAGCUAACUUCCUCAACAUCUACAUUCCACAAUCUACCUAGUAACCAACUCAGCUAACUUCCUCAACAUCUACAUUCCACAAUCUACCUAGUAACAAACCCGGCUGACUUCCUCAACAUCUCAACUGCUAUUAUUCUAUUAAAAUCUUGUUGUUACCAUAUAUUACCAGGUGAUGUAUACUAUAGGUGCACAAGCCUGGGAUGUGCGUAUACUAUAUACUAUAGGUGCACAAGCAUGGCCUGUGUAUACUAUAGGUGCACAAGUAUGGUCUGUGUGUAUACUAUAUACUAUAGGUGCACAAGCCUGGGCUGUGUGUAUACUAUAUACUAUAGGUGCACAAGCCUGGGCUGUGUGUAUACUAUAUACUAUAGGUGCACAAGCCUGGGCUGUGUGUAUACUAUAUACUAUAGGUGCACAAGCCUGGGCUGUGUGUAUACUAUAUACUAUAGGUGCACAAGCAUGGCCUGUGUAUACUAUAGGUGCACAAGUAUGGUCUGUGUGUAUACUAUAGGUGCACAAGUAUGGUCUGUGUGUAUACUAUAUACUAUAGGUGCACAAGUAUGGUCUGUGUAUACUAUAUACUAUAGGUGCACAAGCCUGGGCUGUGUGUAUACUAUAUACUAUAGGUGCACAAGCAUGGCCUGUGUGUAUACUAUAGGUGCACAAGCAUGGUCUGUGUGUAUACUAUAUACUAUAGGUGCACAAGCCUGGGAUGUGCGUAUACUAUAUACUAUAGGUACACAAGCAUGGCCUGUGUAUACUAUAGGUGCACAAGUAUGGUCUGUGUGUAUACUAUAUACUAUAGGUGCACAAGCCUGGGAUGUGCGUAUACUGUAGGUGCACAAGCAUGGCCUGUGUAUACUAUAGGUGCACAAGUAUGGUCUGUGUGUAUACUAUAUACUAUAGGUGCACAAGCCUGGGCUGUGUGUAUACUAUAUACUAUAGGUGCACAAGCAUGGCCUGUGUAUACUAUAGGUGCACAAGCAUGGCCUGUGUAUACUAUAGGUGCACAAGCAUGGUCUGUGUGUAUACUAUAUACUAUAGGUGCACACGCCUGGGCUGUGUGUAUACUAUAUACUAUAGGUGCAAAAGCCUGGGCUGUGUGUAUACUAUAUACUAUAGGUGCACAAGCCUGGGAUGUGCGUAUACUAUAGGUGCACAAGCAUGGCCUGUGUAUACUAUAGGUGCACAAGCAUGGCCUGUGUGUAUACUAUAUACUACAGGUGCACAAGCAUGGCCUGUGUGUAUACUAUAUAUUAUAGGUGCACAAGCAUGGCCUGUGUGUAUACUAUAUACUACAGGUGCACAAGCAUGGCCUGUGUUUAUACUAUAUACUAUAGGUGCACAAGCAUGGCCUGUGUAUACUAUAUACUACAGGUGCACAAGGAUAGCCUGUGUGUAUACUAUAUACUAUAGGUGCACAAGCAUGGCCUGUGUGUAUACUAUAUACUAUAGGUGCACAAGCAUGGCCUGUGUGUAUACUAUAUACUAUAGGUGCACAAGCAUGGCCUGUGUAUACUAUAUACUAUAGGUGCACAAGCAUGGCCUGUGUGUAUACUAUAUACUAUAGGUGCACAAGCCUGGUCUGUGUGUAUACUAUAGGUGCACAAGCCUGGGCUGUGUGUAUACUAUAUACUAUAGGUGCACAAGCCUGAUCUGUGUUUAUACUAUAUACUAUAGGUGCACAAGCAUGGCCUGUGUACUGAUUUACACUGAGGAAGUUCUUGAUGGACAUUGGUCUCUUUAUGUUGUAUUCUAUUUGACAAGAUAGCUGCUGUUGUGGGCAAAUGUCAGACAUACCAGAUAUAAGUGUUUGAAAUACAAGAUGCCGAAUGUUGAAAACAGAAAUGUUUAAAGCAAAACUCUAUGACUUAAAAAUAUGCUAUUAAAUAAAAUUGUUGUUGUGAUGAAAA
This 2804-nucleotide unclassified non-coding RNA is filed under the name Gigantopelta aegis. Its description in RNAcentral is "uncharacterized LOC121368786, transcript variant X1". Lineage: Eukaryota; Metazoa; Mollusca; Gastropoda; Neomphalida; Peltospiridae. The record is from RNAcentral.